GACGAACGCUGGCGGCGUGCUCAACACAUGCAAGUCGAACGGUAAGGCCCUUCGGGGUACACGAGUGGCGAACGGGUGAGUAACACGUGGGUGAUCUGCCCUGCACUUCGGGAUAAGCCUGGGAAACUGGGUCUAAUACCGGAUAGGACCACUGCCUGCAUGGGUGGUGGUGGAAAGCUUUAGCGGUGUGGGAUGGGCCCGCGGCCUAUCAGCUUGUUGGUGGGGUGAUGGCCUACCAAGGCGACGACGGGUAGCCGGCCUGAGAGGGUGACCGGCCACACUGGGACUGAGAUACGGCCCAGACUCCUACGGGAGGCAGAAGUGGGGAAUAUUGCACAAUGGGCGCAAGCCUGAUGCAGCGACGCCGCGUGAGGGAUGACGGCCUUCGGGUUGUAAACCUCUUUCAGCACCGACGAAGCGCAAGUGACGGUAGGUGCAGAAGAAGGACCGGCCAACUACGUGCCAGCAGCCGCCGUAA
Molecule: ribosomal RNA, 478 nt
Filed under: uncultured bacterium
Lineage: Bacteria
Description: partial 16S ribosomal RNA
Rfam family: Bacterial small subunit ribosomal RNA
Source: RNAcentral